CUGAGGACUAAUUCGUCUGCCCCACCCCCACCCCCACCCCCCCGCUUCGUGGCGACUUCCAGCCUGUGACGACUGGUGUGGACGUCGUCGAGUCACCCUGGCCUAGAGAGACUCCUUUGCCAGCCUGACGUUCUAAAUCUGCCAAAUGGGGAUAUAGGACAAGCUCAAGGAACAGUUGUGUUGGUAAAUAAAUCUAUUCACGGAUCUAAUAAAAAGUGUACUGAGUGCCUACACUGCUAGGCUUCUGCGGUCCAAGGAACAAAGGAGAACCAGGCACCCCCAGAGAAUCCCUCGCCAGCCCUGGACUCUGUGUCGGCGCACAGGCUCUGGAAUUCCAAUCUCAACGCUAUCACUGAGGAACCGUGGCCGUGGGACAAGGCAUUAAUUACAUCUCUCUAAGCCUCAGUUUUGUCCUCUGCAAAAUGGUUUAGCAUUCAAUGAAAUAAAAUAUGC
Molecule: long non-coding RNA, 453 nt
Organism: Sus scrofa (pig)
Lineage: Eukaryota; Metazoa; Chordata; Mammalia; Artiodactyla; Suidae
Source: RefSeq, a predicted model, not a curated record